This is a non-coding RNA of Populus trichocarpa (black cottonwood), 122 nucleotides long. Lineage: Eukaryota; Viridiplantae; Streptophyta; Magnoliopsida; Malpighiales; Salicaceae. The record is from Rfam.
UAAUUUAUCUGAGGCAGAUCGUCAUCUAAAUAUGCUAGACCCAUAGCUGACCGCUUAGAAUUUCUUAUUAUCGCAAUCCCGACUACAUUAAUAAAACAUUUUGAUUAUUUUUUUUGUUAAUU